Molecule: transfer RNA, 69 nt
Filed under: Ictidomys tridecemlineatus (thirteen-lined ground squirrel)
Lineage: Eukaryota; Metazoa; Chordata; Mammalia; Rodentia; Sciuridae
Description: Spermophilus tridecemlineatus (thirteen-lined ground squirrel) tRNA
Rfam family: tRNA
About the family: Transfer RNA (tRNA) molecules are approximately 80 nucleotides in length.
Source: Rfam by way of RNAcentral
GGGGCUGCGGCUCAGUGGAAGAGCACCUGCCUUGCACGUGGGAGGCUCUGGGUUCAAUCCUCAGCCCCA